Molecule: ribosomal RNA, 253 nt
Filed under: uncultured bacterium
Lineage: Bacteria
Description: partial 16S ribosomal RNA
Rfam family: Bacterial small subunit ribosomal RNA
Source: RNAcentral
UACGGAGGGGGCAAGCGUUGUCCGGAAUCAUUGGGCGUAAAGAGUGUGUAGGCGGCUCGAUAAGUCCGCCGUGAAAGUCCAGGGCUCAACCCUGGAAUGCCGGUGGAAACUGUCGGGCUGGAGUCCGGAAGAGGCGAGUGGAAUUCCUGGUGUAGCGGUGAAAUGCGCAGAUAUCAGGAGGAACACCAAUGGCGAAGGCAGCUCGCUGGGACGAUACUGACGCUGAGACGCGAAAGCGAGGGGAGCAAACAGG